Molecule: ribosomal RNA, 551 nt
Filed under: uncultured Luteimonas sp.
Lineage: Bacteria; Pseudomonadati; Pseudomonadota; Gammaproteobacteria; Lysobacterales; Lysobacteraceae
Description: bacterial SSU rRNA
Rfam family: Bacterial small subunit ribosomal RNA
Source: RNAcentral
UGGGGAAUAUUGGACAAUGGGCGCAAGCCUGAUCCAGCCAUGCCGCGUGGGUGAAGAAGGCCUUCGGGUUGUAAAGCCCUUUUGUUGGGAAAGAAAAGCAGUCGGUUAAUACCCGAUUGUUCUGACGGUACCCAAAGAAUAAGCACCGGCUAACUUCGUGCCAGCAGCCGCGGUAAUACGAAGGGUGCAAGCGUUACUCGGAAUUACUGGGCGUAAAGCGUGCGUAGGUGGUUUGUUAAGUCUGAUGUGAAAGCCCUGGGCUCAACCUGGGAAUUGCAUUGGAUACUGGCAGGCUAGAGUGCGGUAGAGGGUAGUGGAAUUCCCGGUGUAGCAGUGAAAUGCGUAGAGAUCGGGAGGAACAUCCGUGGCGAAGGCGACUACCUGGACCAGCACUGACACUGAGGCACGAAAGCGUGGGGAGCAAACAGGAUUAGAUACCCUGGUAGUCCACGCCCUAAACGAUGCGAACUGGAUGUUGGGUUCAACUAGGAACUCAGUAUCGAAGCUAACGCGUUAAGUUCGCCGCCUGGGGAGUACGGUCGCAAGACUGA